AUAAACACUUGGGGGAGCAUAGAAGCUGAGAGGAUGACUUACUUAAGCCGUCGACCCUUAAACCUGACCUAGGUAAUACUAGCGUAGGAAAAGUAGAAAUAGGUAAA
This 107-nucleotide non-coding RNA is filed under the name Actinomycetota bacterium. RNAcentral's name for it is "Actinobacteria bacterium TPP sequence". It matches the Rfam family "TPP riboswitch aptamer (THI element)". Rfam says of the family: Vitamin B(1) in its active form thiamin pyrophosphate (TPP) is an essential coenzyme that is synthesised by coupling of pyrimidine and thiazole moieties in bacteria. The previously detected thiamin-regulatory element, thi box was extended, resulting in a new, highly conserved RNA secondary structure, the THI element, which is widely distributed in eubacteria and also occurs in some archaea. Lineage: Bacteria; Bacillati; Actinomycetota. The record is from RNAcentral.